AAGUCGUAACAAGGUCUCCGUAGGUGAACCUGCGGAGGGAUCAUUACAGAGCUUUUGCCCGCAAGGGUAGAUCUCCCACCCUGUGUUAUAAUUUACCUCUGUUGCUUUGGCGGGCCGCCCUGGCCUCGGUCAGGCUACCGGCUCCGGCGGGUAAGCGCCCGCCAGAGGACCCUAAACUCUGAAUAUCAGUGUCGUCUGAGUACUAUACAAUAGUUAAAACUUUCAACAACGGAUCUCUUGGUUCUG
Molecule: unclassified non-coding RNA, 246 nt
Filed under: Hyaloscyphaceae sp.
Lineage: Eukaryota; Fungi; Ascomycota; Leotiomycetes; Helotiales; Hyaloscyphaceae
Description: partial contains small subunit ribosomal RNA, internal transcribed spacer 1, and 5.8S ribosomal RNA
Rfam family: Eukaryotic small subunit ribosomal RNA (bases 1-46)
Source: RNAcentral